GAAAGUAGGGAGUACACAUAUAAAAGAAUGAUAUAAGAUAAAAAAAAAAAUGGAACUUGGGGUUAAAGAAUUGAGAAACUGGAUUAGGUGAGCAUUCCCUUUAACCCCAUCAAUGCAAAGUUCCAAAAGUUUCAAGUUUUGGAAGGGGGUGAGGAAAUUUGCAUCCUUUUUUUUACUGUGAAUGGAGAGAGAAAGGGUGUGAAUGAUGGGACGAAGACUACUGAUGCGGUGGAAGAAGGCAGAGACAGUAACCCUGCCAACAACAACACAAACAAAGGUGCUGUGGGAGCACAGAAAAACUCCCACGAGAUU
RNAcentral lists this long non-coding RNA (312 nucleotides) under Vigna radiata. Its description in RNAcentral is "long non-coding RNA (VRAD_LNC016276)". Lineage: Eukaryota; Viridiplantae; Streptophyta; Magnoliopsida; Fabales; Fabaceae. The record is from RNAcentral.